This 232-nucleotide unclassified non-coding RNA is filed under the name Exophiala pisciphila. RNAcentral describes it as "sequence contains ITS1". The record is from RNAcentral. Lineage: Eukaryota; Fungi; Ascomycota; Eurotiomycetes; Chaetothyriales; Herpotrichiellaceae.
CGAGUUAGGGUCCCUCGCGGCCCGACCUCCCAACCCUUUGUCUACCUGACCACUGGUUGCUUCGGCGAGCCCGUCUGUAAUGGACCGCCGGGGGGUACCUUGAUCGGCCCUCUGGUCCGCGCUCGUCGAUAGCCAAACUUUUAAAAUCUUAACCAAACGUGUCUCAAUCUAAGUAUUAUUUGUUAAAUAAAAGCAAAACUUUCAACAACGGAUCUCUUGGUUCUGGCAUCGA